ACAGAAGUUUCGAACGCCAACAAAUUGACCUCAUUACUUCUGAAGAGACAGGGGCGGGGAGAGAAGAGGAAUGCUGAAAGGGCAUUAUGCUUUUGCUAUUUAGUAAAAGAAGUAUCAACAUGCCUUCUGAUGACUCCUGAACAUCCCUUACAAAUGAAGGAGCCACAGAGUGGGGCAACUCCAUGUCUUUAUCACUCUGCCAGCCAAGGAAGAGGAAGACAAUCAAGCCACACUUGACAAGGGUCAAGACCAUUCACUUUCAGGGCCAAGGGGAUUUCAGAGCCAAGGGGAUUAGGACAGAGCAGCAUUUUCCCAUAGUGACAAGAGGAAACAAGAGAAUCGAAAGCAUCUUUCAAUUCCAUUCUGAGUCAAAGAGGUUGUUCUUGCAGCCCAACUGGGAACCUACAUGCAAACCAGUUCUAUGAGAAAAUAUGUCCCCAAAUUCCAAACUACUUCCAGCAGCAAGACAGUUAAGAGACACGUUGGAUGAGGCAACAGCGGGGAAGAAAGGGAGCUGAUCUUGAAUUGGCUGUGUACUGACAGAUUGUAUGAAUGAAAGCAAUAAAAAU
Molecule: long non-coding RNA, 569 nt
Filed under: Pan troglodytes (chimpanzee)
Lineage: Eukaryota; Metazoa; Chordata; Mammalia; Primates; Hominidae
Description: long non-coding RNA NONPTRT002047
Source: RNAcentral